UUUACCUGGCCUUCCAAUCCUCAUUCCAUUUCCGUAUCUAGUUAUCUUGAUUUUAUCUGUGGACUUCAGGAUACAAUGUAAAGUUAAGGGCUGAUCUAAAAAAAACAAAUAUGUGGGAGACAAGUUCGAACCAGGGUUUCUGGCCACUGUUGUGUGGGGGUCCUACAAGGAGCAGGCAGCAGUGGCCAGUACAGCUGUGGGUGUAAUGCCUGCUGUGUGCGAGAGCCUCAGCGGCUGCGUGCCAGUCAGAGAGGACUGGUUUCCAAAUUCAAACAUGCUCGAACAAAUCAGUGACUGACACUGUAUUUUACCCAAAGGUGUCUCAUGGUAUGUAAUCUUUAUUUCAAGCUCUGUGGCCUUUUAAACUCUGUGCUGAUCCUCUCACCUUUAAGGCCACUUUAACUGAUCUGCACCUCACAGGCCACUGCAUCCUUUCUAUUUUUCACAGAGUACAGAUGUCACCUUUGGAGAACCCCUUAGGUUGAGCUUAGCUCACAGGAAAACUUCUGAGAAAUCAAUUUUUCUGCAAGAACCAGGCAGUUCUCUCUCAUAUUUAUACACAUCCUGCCCUAUGAAAUAGAGGUGCAAGGUGCAUUUGUUGCUGGAGAUGAUCACUCAGUAAAGUGUCUUCUACUUAGGGCUUAAAAAAAAAUCUUGGCAAAAAAAUGAUCAACAGAUUCUGAUAGUCUCAUUCAUAUUCCCAGACACCAAUUCUGAAAAGUCCAAAAGCAUUUUUCAUUAGUAUACUCAUUCAUUCAACAGAAUACCCAUUGGCCACUUCCUGUAUGCCAGGCACUGUGCUGUUGCUGUGGGUGCACAAAUGGAAGGCACAAUGCCCACCCUGGAGGCGCUCUUUGUUGAAUACAGAGCACACUAGGGAAGAGAGCAGUGCAUGGUUUCCAAUGACUGUGAUGCAGAGUGCAGCCCAGAGCCGCAAGGAAGGCGUCCCACGGAGGGCCUGUGACCUGGCCAUUUGGAGGGUGAAUAGGAGUCACAGGGAUUUGAUGGAAGGAAGGAGGGUUCAGAAAAAGUAAAUGACUUUCAGCAGAAGAGAGCCUUUGCUAAACCUGGAACCAUCAAGAAACUUAGUGAUCUCGGAGCCUUAGAGGCUGCUAGGAGCCCGAACCCACCCCCCAGUAAUCAGACCUGGGUUCCACAGCACCCAGAUGUGCACACAUCAUUCCCUGCCUCCACUUCUCAUCGCUGUCUCAUCUCACUGUCUGCCAGACACCUUCCCCCAUCCCACGUCGUAGACCCCUCACUCAUAAGGAGAUAUGCUGCUGUCUUAUGGUGAGUGAGAAGUACAAGACUGAGGGGAGAAGCUGCUUGGAGCUCUACUCCUGGGCCACUUGGAGAGACAUCUGUUUACUUAGCUGCACCGUUCUUUGCCCUGUCCCAGGCACUGAGAACCUCACAUAUUUUAUUUAGUUAUUAAGCAAUCCUAUCAGGAAGGCAUAAUUAUGAUCCUAUUUUAGUAUGUUAUGCAAACACAAUGCGAUGUCUAAUACAACACAAUUAUGUCACAAACUUUAAAAAAUACAAUUGAGGGAACAGAAACCCAGAGAAGUUAAAUAACUUGCCUGAGGCCACACAGUUUUGUGAGUAGUAGCCAGGACCUGAACUGUCAACUCAUUGCUCCCCGCCACCCAAGUGCCUGGUCAGCACCUCCCCAUCAGGACCCAAAGAUGCCUGUGGAAUUUUACAUGCAUUUCAGUGCAACUUUUUAAAGCAUGUUGGAUCAGUUGGCCAGAUUUAUAACUUGUGAUUUACAGCUGACUUUGAUAAGCCACAAAUGCUAGUGUCAUGUUUUAAUGAGACUGAAGGCAUGAACGAGCAGAUUCUACUCUUGAGGCUGUUGUGGGAACACACCGGCCGCCGACAUUGCACUAACCCCUCUGAAGGCCGGCAUUGUCGCCAGGCUCAUUAGCAUCCACGCUCCUCGCUGGGCCGUUGCUGCUCGCUAGCUCACCAGCUGUUCCUGCUGCUCAGUACAAUGUCGGAUGUGUUCAGCUCACUGGGUUCCUGUCCUCGCCGCCCGGAGGAGACAGCCCUUCCGCUGGGGAUACACACGUGGCUGCCUGUCAGCGGUGGCACCGAAUAAAGUAAUAGGCCUUCGCAUGGCAUAUGGUGUCUGGAUUCGUACAAGAUGCAAAACUGUUCUGCAGCUAAUGCACGAUGACUCAUAGCAUUGCUAAUUUUUCAAACAAAAACUGACUUCCACACCCACACUUUUAACCCCUCCAGCUAAAAAGUCUUAAGUUGCAAAGCUCUAGAAGCGUGACUUUUGGGUUGCUGUAUAAAAUUGUUAUACUUACUGAAAGCAUAUGAAAUGACUUGCUUUACUUUGGAUUGAAUUCAUCUUAAAUUUACCUCCUCCAUAAAUGGGGAAUUUUCAAGCUUUAUCUUUCAAUUUCUUUUUCACAUUUGAAGAGUCUAAACAGUUUGGUAGAUUUGUUUUAAAAGCUGUUAUUAGAAAAUCGGUCGGAAGGCAUUAUAUUAGUUCAGCACUUGAAACUGUUUAUUAGAAGUUAACUUUCUCUUUUAAAAGUUUCAUAGAAACUGUUGCCUAAUAUUCUUAUCAAUUCAGGUAUGGAGCAUUUUGAGCUCCUCACAUUAUCAUAUUUGAAAGCUGUAACAGAAUGUUGAUCCUUUUAUGGAACAUGAUUUUGCAUAGUCUUUUCUAGUAUACUAAAUCCAAAGCCCAUUUAAACAACCACAUUCUGGCAAUACAAAUGUAGAUUAUAAAUUUAUAUUAAAAUGGCCAUUUUUCAAACUAGAAAAAUACAUGGGAUCUUCUGAAAGAAUGUCCUUUCUCAACUUUGAAUCAGUUGUGCUAAUAGAUAGCUACAUUCAAUCUCAGACUUUAGGUCCUAAAAUAAAGCAGCUAUUUGCAUUUAUAUAAUCAGGCCUCCCUUUGAAGUCAUGAUCAAAAUAUUGGUUCUUUUAUAAAUAACCUUUUAUUGAACAUUUUAUUUAAACAUUUCAGAGGCAAGAAUUGCCAUCAUAAAAUGAUUAGGCAGUUUCUAAUUAUGGAUCAGUAAGUGUUUUGUAGUCAGUCUGGCACAUGACACUUUUGCAAUCAGAAUUUGGCAAAUGGAUGAAUUUAUAAAGGAACUUCAACCUAGGAGAGUAAUACAGAUUUUUUUUAAAAUGAUUACUUUUUGCAGCCCCAAAAGAUGUCUUUCAGGGAGCAGGCUAGAGACUCUGAAUUGAUGUUUCAUUUAGACUCAUGUUUGAGUCUAAAGUUUUUUGCUUUCUGAUCUACAGAUAUUAAUUCAAAUGUGCAUCUAACUUAUAAAGGGCAUUCUAUUCUCUAAAAGAGAAUCAAAAAAAUAUAAAAAUUCUAAAUAGGCUUCACAUUCUAUAUUCCAGUUUUGAUACCAUUUUUCCAGCAUGCUCUCUAAUUUUGCCCUUUGCCAUCAGAAAUAACCUGGUAUGCAUUUGAUGUAGCUAAAAAUGUAUUAGACACUUAAAAUUUUCCACGUUUGGCAUAUAUGAGGAUUUCCAAUUUUGCUUUCACUGCCUUGAGUUUAAGACCCAUAUUUGUUGUUACUCCUACUGGUACCUUCAUUUUAUCCUAUUACCACUCAUUUUUAUGAAAUGAGGGCAAAAUUCCAUGGAGUAUUCAAAUAAUGACCUAAGGACAGAAGUGAAAACACUACUGAGCCUGAACUCUUGGUCAGUACUUAGUGUCUGCAUGUAACUGAUAAAAUGCUCUCUCAUCAGCCAAUGGACCAGAGGGCAAACUCAGCUCCAAAAGACAGUUUAGGACAUUAGUGCAUGAUGUACAAAAGCACAGGCUGAUCACAGGCACCCAGAAGGACCAUUAUUCUCACUCUUGGUGACAGCCUUGCAGAAUGAGACUGUGUUAACCCACAGAUGGGGAGAGUGAAGCUCGAGGAAGCCGGGUCUUGGCCUGGGGCCCACAGCCAGGGCAGGGCUGGGAUGAGAGCCCAGACCAACCUGACUACUAUGGCUGUUUCUCACUUGUGCACACUUUUGACCUAAGAAUAGGAGACCAUCAAAAUUAUACAGCUUUGAGAAAGUGAAGCAAUUCCAAUUAAUUUUAGCUUGUUCUGUCAUUAUUGUUACCAAAUGGAUUCUACCCUUUAAACCUUGUUUGUAUGGAAUAAAGACAAAAACAAAAUUAUUGUAAGUUAGGAUGGAAAGUAUUCCCAUUUUGAUACCAUGUGUAUAUCUCAUAUCAGAAUACAUGUACCUUCCAAAUUAAAAAGCAGAGAAAAUAUUAAGUUUAAAUAUUCUUACUGACAUAUCCCACUUAGAGUCUAUCCCAAAAUAAGCACCUAAUUGAUGUUACUCAGUGUGCUUUUCUCUUGAUAAAUAGUUGAGGACACAGUUUCAUCACAGUGAUUUUUCCAGUUUAUUGCUAGCAAGAUAUUUAUUUGUAGGUGUGGAAUCCAUUUAUAUUCCACCUCUUUCUAAAAUAGAUUUGAAAGACCUUACAUGAAGGUCAUGUGUAAUGAGAAAGAGAAAAUCAAAGCCCAGGAGUGAGGGUGAAAAUAAGAGCAUCUGAAGGUAUACAGAGCAUCCACAGUCAUGGCUGCGGUAGCAAAGCAGGGCAUCCCCAUUGACUACUGCUGACCUCUAAAGCUUGCUGUAAGGUGUGACUACCACUUGUCUUCGGGCCAUUCUUGUUCCAAAGUUGUCAAUUACUUUAAAUGAAAUUAUAUCUUGUCUAAGUUGGAAGACAUAAUAGGUCACUGUAGUGAAAUAUGUUCCAGACAACAGCAUAUAUUCAUAGGAAAUUUUUAAUAUCAAAAUGAUUUUCUAUUCUACCCCAUGAGUUUAAAAGAUAUCUUUGGAGCAGACAUGCAAGUUCAUGUGCAUCACAAGCUAAUUAAUAAGAUAAAUAAAUAAAUAAAAAGUUAAGGGCUUGACAGUAGCUGACAAAGUGAAGAAUUAAUUAGUGACGGGGAAAGCAUGAUUGAAAAAUAAUCUUAAUGCCCACAUUAGCUGGGUAGCUGCUUUUGCUAAGCCUUUUAGUUUAAAAAGCCCAAGUACCUGACAUUUUGCAUCUGUUUUUCUGUGAAGAUAAAAGGAAACUUGAGUGUCUCAUUCUCAAUAAUGGAUUUUAUGUGACAAAAAGGUUUCUGCUCUGUUCAUUUCCAUGGCCAGGCAUUUUUAUAUUAUUGCCCCACUAACUGUUAUUUCACGUUUAACUCUUUGUAGACUCGUAUGGCUUUCCUCAGCCCUGGGGUUGGUAUGGGAUUGAAUGAUGUCCAAGGUGCCCUGUGUACUAGGCACUUCCAUCCAUGCUGGUCUUCUUGUUACCAUGUUGCAGGACUUGUUGCCCUAUAAUGCAGCUCUUCUCUCAGGUUUGUUUACUUGUGAUCACUAUGUAAUCAUUCACUUUAUGGAGCUUCAUUAAGGACUGCAAACCUCUGUCCCAAUUUAGCGUCAUUCAAGCGUAGGUAGCAUCCAUCUGCUCCACCCGCACUGUUUAAUUAAUGAACUUCAUAAUGUGUUUUUGCCUGUAAAAGCGCUCUGUCUCCUCAGGUUGUUGAAUGAGAUGUGCAUUCCAGGUUUUCUGUGUUAAGAUUCUAGAAAGACCGCCAUGGGAGGUGCUAAUUAUGUACCCACCAAACUCCUGUUAAUUCUAAACUUGAAGGCAGAUUUACUUUAUUUUUUUUUUCAAUAUAUAUUCAUAAACACAAAGCCUGGUCACUUUUUGAGUAAGAAAUCACUGGCCAGUUUUCAUAGUCUUUCCCUUCGGUAGGAGGAAAGAUUAACAUUUUUUAAAAGCUAUAUUUUCUUUCAGUCAAGUAAAAAUAUACUUGUUACUUUGAGGUGUUUCCUUUUGAAAUUAAAGUUAUGGAAAUGCUUGAAUGUCAAAAAUGCUACUUCUGUUUUCCAAUAUUUCUUUCCAUAGAAUUGCCUGGGAAAUUUUGUAGAAUAGAUUCUUGUAAAAGUAAUGGAGUAACAACUGUUUUUCUUGGAAAAUAGUAAGACUCAAGUAAUACUUUUUCUUUUUGAAUUUCGUUAUCUGUUUAAUUUUUAGUGUGAUUAGUGCGUUAUAAAAUUCUACCUGGAUUUAGAGGUGUUUUGUUGGCACCUGUUCAAAGACCUGAUAAAUUUGGUAUUAUAUGGAAAAUAGCAUAUAACUAGCCACAUUUAUUUACUUAACACUUUUAUUACCAACUAAGACCAGGAGCCUAAGCCUGAUUUUCAACAACCAGACAACCUAUGGUUCAUGUGCCUUUUCUUAAAGCCUGUUUAAUAUUGAGAUUAAACUCCUCUCUACCCUGUCAAGUACUCUCAAGUCCUGGAAUUUCUUUCUAUCUUGAAAUAUGAUAGGGUUCUACAUUCAUGUUUUAUUCAGCCAUUUUCAUCACAGUGGAAAAUAUAUCUGAAUACCCAUUUUUCAAAAAUAAUUUUUAUCUACCCCCAUCCAAACUGGGGAGGGAAGAGAACUAUAUCUGUGUUCUCAUCUAGCCAUUAUAAAUAGUUAACACAUUGGGAAAUCAAUGUUAAAGCUUCUUCACACUAAGUACCAUGAGGGUAAAAUCAAAAAGGAUGAACAGUUGGAAGAAUAAUUGGUACACAAGGAAGGAAGAAUGAUGUCCCCUUUUUGCUCUCCCUUCUCAACAUUUAUAGAACUGCAUGUAGUCAGGGACCUGGCACGUCCCUGACCACACUGUUGAUGCAGGGCAGGGAUCCUCAGAUACUGUCAGUGGGGCCCAAUCCAGUAGGCAAGAGACUGUCCUACCUCACCCCCUACAGGUGCGCAGAAAAGCAGCUUCAUGAUGACAAAAAAAAGAAAAAAGAAAAAGAA
Long non-coding RNA from Sapajus apella (tufted capuchin), 6793 nucleotides. RefSeq lists it as uncharacterized. NCBI's taxonomy places the organism in Eukaryota, Metazoa, Chordata, Mammalia, Primates, Cebidae. The record is from RefSeq and is a predicted model, not a curated record. The transcript has 2 exons.